Pelobates cultripes (western spadefoot toad) is the source of this 247-nucleotide non-coding RNA. The record is from the annotation of a GenBank genome assembly. Lineage: Eukaryota; Metazoa; Chordata; Amphibia; Anura; Pelobatidae.
CUGGCUUGCAGCAACCGUCCAGUUCCACUUAAUUUGCUUUCACAUCCUGGGUAUCCACAACACGGCCGCUGAUGCUCUGUCUCGAUCUCAAUUCCAGGUAUUCUUCCAGGCACUCCCGUCAGCCCACCAUCAACCAUCCAGAACACCGAGGUUUCACGAGUUAAUCCUGGAUUGAACACAGUUAUGCACCACACUAGGACUCUCACCUAACACAACUAUCACCUACAGUAGGGCACUUACCGUUUUC